This 400-nucleotide ribosomal RNA is filed under the name uncultured bacterium. RNAcentral describes it as "bacterial SSU rRNA". It matches the Rfam family "Bacterial small subunit ribosomal RNA", at positions 355 to 746 of the family's 1533-position model. The record is from RNAcentral.
UCGAGAAUCUUUCGCAAUGGGCGAAAGCCUGACGAUGCGACGCCGCGUGAGCGAUGAAGGUCUUCGGAUUGUAAAGCUCUGUCAUACGGGAAGAACGUCCUAUGGGUGAAUAACCCUGUGGGCUGACUGUACUGUAAGAGGAAGCCACGGCUAACUCCGUGCCAGCAGCCGCGGUAAUACGGAGGUGGCAAACGUUGUUCGGAUUUAUUGGGUGUAAAGGGUAUGUAGGCGGGCUUGUAAGUCGGAUGUGAAAUACUUUGGCUUAACCAAAGAACUGCAUUCGAAACUGCUUGUCUUGAGUUUGGGAGAGGAAAGCGGAAUUCUCGGUGUAAGGGUGAAAUCUGUAGAUAUCGAGAGGAACACCAGUGGCGAAAGCGGCUUUCUGGACCAAAACUGACGC